RNAcentral lists this ribosomal RNA (183 nucleotides) under Cronobacter sakazakii. Its description in RNAcentral is "partial 16S ribosomal RNA". It matches the Rfam family "Bacterial small subunit ribosomal RNA", at positions 1 to 176 of the family's 1533-position model. Lineage: Bacteria; Pseudomonadati; Pseudomonadota; Gammaproteobacteria; Enterobacterales; Enterobacteriaceae. The record is from RNAcentral.
UUAAUUGAAGAGUUUGAUCAUGGCUCAGAUUGAACGCUGGCGGCAGGCCUAACACAUGCAAGUCGAACGGUAACAGGGAGCAGCUUGCUGCUCUGCUGACGAGUGGCGGACGGGUGAGUAAUGUCUGGGAAACUGCCUGAUGGAGGGGGAUAACUACUGGAAACGGUAGCUAAUACCGCAUAA